Molecule: long non-coding RNA, 445 nt
Filed under: Prunus persica (peach)
Lineage: Eukaryota; Viridiplantae; Streptophyta; Magnoliopsida; Rosales; Rosaceae
Description: long non-coding RNA (PPER_LNC004196)
Source: RNAcentral
UAAUGUCUCAUGCCUAUUACAUAGUAAUAUGCAUCGAUCACCAAUACCAUGGUUAGGUAUAUAGGCAACGGAUAAUAUCCGUUGCUAAAUGUCAAUUUUGGCAUAGUGACAUCCGAAAUACGUCAACUAGAUUAGCAAGUGUAUUCAAAAGUAUAGGCAGCCCUUCUCUUCUCCGGCUUGUUUGCAUCAUAUAUAAAUUAUAAUUGCACCAUAUUGAUGUUGCACUUUUGUUUUAAACUAAAUCUUUGUUGUUAAUAUAUUUCAAAGUUAAAUUUGAUGGUGAUGAGUCGAUGAGGUAACGUUCACAUUGAUUUGGUUGCUUGCAUCAGUCCCAACAAAAGGGGAAAUUUCAAUGCAGCUUCCUUCUUAUCCUUCUUCCUUGCUAGAUUACAGCCACAACAUAUAUUUCAGAUUACUCAUUGCGUUUUGGCGCUCCUGAUUCCUG